UCCAGGAACCUGUGUCUGUGUCUGUAAUUU
This 30-nucleotide non-coding RNA is filed under the name Rattus norvegicus (Norway rat). The record is from RNAcentral. Lineage: Eukaryota; Metazoa; Chordata; Mammalia; Rodentia; Muridae.